UACGUAGGGUGCAAGCGUUGUCCGGAAUUAUUGGGCGUAAAGAGCUCGUAGGCGGUUUGUCGCGUCGGCUGUGAAAACCUGGGGCUCAACCCCAGGCCUGCAGCCGAUACGGGCAAACUAGAAUUCGGUAGGGGAGACUGGAAUUCCUGGUGUAGCGGUGAAAUGCGCAGAUAUCAGGAGGAACACCGGUGGCGAAGGCGGGUCUCUGGGCCGAUAUUGACGCUGAGGAGCGAAAGCGUGGGGAGCGAACAGG
Molecule: ribosomal RNA, 253 nt
Filed under: uncultured bacterium
Lineage: Bacteria
Description: partial 16S ribosomal RNA
Rfam family: Bacterial small subunit ribosomal RNA
Source: RNAcentral